UACAACGCGGAGUUCGCGCUCCUCCUGGA
Molecule: small RNA, 29 nt
Filed under: Bombyx mori (domestic silkworm)
Lineage: Eukaryota; Metazoa; Arthropoda; Insecta; Lepidoptera; Bombycidae
Description: ovarian small RNA-20063
Source: RNAcentral